This 22-nucleotide non-coding RNA is filed under the name Rattus norvegicus (Norway rat). Lineage: Eukaryota; Metazoa; Chordata; Mammalia; Rodentia; Muridae. The record is from RNAcentral.
AGUGGUUGUGGUUGCUGGGGGU